GAGGAAAAGAAACCAACUGGGAUUACCUUAGUAACGGCGAGUGAAGCGGUAAAAGCUCAAAUUUGAAAUCUGGUACUUUCAGUGCCCGAGUUGUAAUUUGUAGAAUUUGUCUUUGAUUAGGUCCUUGUCUAUGUUCCUUGGAACAGGACGUCAUAGAGGGUGAGAAUCCCGUUUGGCGAGGAUACCUUUUCUCUGUAAGACUUUUUCGAAGAGUCGAGUUGUUUGGGAAUGCAGCUCAAAGUGGGUGGUAAAUUCCAUCUAAAGCUAAAUAUUGGCGAGAGACCGAUAGCGAACAAGUACAGUGAUGGAAAGAUGAAAAGAACUUUGAAAAGAGAGUGAAAAAGUACGUGAAAUUGUUGAAAGGGAAGGGCAUUUGAUCAGACAUGGUGUUUUUUGCAUGCACUCGCCUCUCGUGGGCUUGGGCCUCUCAAAAAUUUCACUGGGCCAACAUCAAUUCUGGCAGCAGGAUAAAUCAUUAAGAAUGUAGCUACUUCGGUAGUGUUAUAGCUUUUUGGAAUACUGUUAGCCGGGAUUGAGGACUGCGCUUCGGCAAGGAUGUUGGCAUAAUGGUUAAAUGCCGCCCGUCUUGA
This 590-nucleotide ribosomal RNA is filed under the name Hanseniaspora uvarum. RNAcentral's name for it is "partial large subunit ribosomal RNA". It matches the Rfam family "Eukaryotic large subunit ribosomal RNA", at positions 53 to 657 of the family's 3401-position model. Lineage: Eukaryota; Fungi; Ascomycota; Saccharomycetes; Saccharomycodales; Saccharomycodaceae. The record is from RNAcentral.